GGCCGUGUAAGUCAGUGGUAGACAGUCACCCUCCUAAGGUGGAAGUCCAGGGUUCAAGCCCCUGCUCGGUCG
Molecule: transfer RNA, 72 nt
Filed under: Talaromyces pinophilus
Lineage: Eukaryota; Fungi; Ascomycota; Eurotiomycetes; Eurotiales; Trichocomaceae
Description: tRNA-Arg (CCT) (tRNA-Arg-CCT-2-1)
Rfam family: tRNA
About the family: Transfer RNA (tRNA) molecules are approximately 80 nucleotides in length. Their secondary structure includes four short double-helical elements and three loops (D, anti-codon, and T loops).
Source: RNAcentral